GUCUUUUUGAUGAUAAUUUAAAGUCUAGCCUGCCCGAUGAUAAUUGAAUGGCCGCGGUAUUUUGACCGUGCUAAGGUAGCAUAAUCAAUAGUUUUUUAAUUGAAAGCUUGAAUGAAGGGUUGGAUAAAAAAAUAACUGUCUUUAUUUAAUUUAAUUAGAAUUUUAUAUUUAAGUUAAAAAGCUUAAAUAUUGUUAAAAGACGAGAAGACCCUAUAGAGUUUAAUAAAUUAUUAAAUUAAUAUAUUUAGAAUUUAUUUUAUUAAUUGAAUUAUUUAUUUAAUUGGGGUGAUUAAAAAAUUAAAUAAACUUUUUUUGUAUUUUUCCAUUUAUAAAUGAAUUUUUGAUCCAUAAAUAAUGAUUAUAAGAUAAAAUUACCUUAGGGAUAACAGCGUUAUUUUUUUUUAGAGUUCAAAUCGAAAAAAAAGAUUGCGACCUCGAUGUUGGAUUAAAAUUAAUUUUUGGUGUAGAAGCUAAAAUAUUGGGUCUGUUCGACCUUUAAAAUUUUACAUGAUCUGAGUUUAAACCGGUUUAAGCCAGGUUGGUUUCUAUCUUUAAUAAAUAAAAAUGCUUUAGUACGAAAGGAUUAAGUAUUUAAUUAAUAAUUUU
RNAcentral lists this ribosomal RNA (606 nucleotides) under Chrysomela vigintipunctata (willow leaf beetle). Its description in RNAcentral is "partial 16S rRNA". It matches the Rfam family "Bacterial large subunit ribosomal RNA", at positions 1819 to 2716 of the family's 2925-position model. The record is from RNAcentral. Lineage: Eukaryota; Metazoa; Arthropoda; Insecta; Coleoptera; Chrysomelidae.